This 83-nucleotide transfer RNA is filed under the name Candidatus Borkfalkia avistercoris. RNAcentral describes it as "tRNA-Leu". It matches the Rfam family "tRNA". From Rfam's summary of the family: Transfer RNA (tRNA) molecules are approximately 80 nucleotides in length. Their secondary structure includes four short double-helical elements and three loops (D, anti-codon, and T loops). Lineage: Bacteria; Bacillati; Bacillota; Clostridia; Christensenellales; Christensenellaceae. The record is from RNAcentral.
GCGGGCGUGGCGGAACUGGCAGACGCGCCGGACUUAGAAUCCGGUGGGCAACCUUGCAGGUUCAAAUCCUGUCGCCCGCACCA